CAUGUGCACCAUACAAGCUGGUGAAGCUGCCAGCAUGAUCUGAUCUGACCAUAUAUCUAGAUUGGCAUGGAUGGAUAUGUGAUAUGAUCUGAUCAGGUCAUGCUGGAGUUUCAUCUGCUGGUUGGG
Molecule: microRNA precursor, 126 nt
Filed under: Brachypodium distachyon (stiff brome)
Lineage: Eukaryota; Viridiplantae; Streptophyta; Magnoliopsida; Poales; Poaceae
Description: miR167e stem-loop (bdi-MIR167e)
Gene: bdi-MIR167e
Rfam family: MIR167 microRNA precursor family
Source: miRBase by way of RNAcentral